AGCUCAAAUUUAAAAUCUGACAGUGUUUUGCUGUCCGAGUUGUAAUCUAGAGAAGUGUUACCCGUGCUGGACCAUGUACAAGUCUCCUGGAAUGGAGCGUCACAGAGGGUGAGAAUCCCGUCUUUGACAUGGACUACCAGUGCAUUGUGGUGUGCUCUCAAAGAGUCGAGUUGUUUGGGAAUGCAGCUCUAAAUGGGUGGUAAACUCCAUCUAAAGCUAAAUAUUGGCGAGAGACCGAUAGCGAACAAGUACCGUGAGGGAAAGAUGAAAAGAACUUUGGAAAGAGAGUUAAACAGUAUGUGAAAUUGUUGAAAGGGAAACGCUUAAAGUCAGUCAUGUCGGCCAGGGAUCAACUUAGCUUUCUUUGCUGGGUGUACUUCCUGAUCUGAUGGGCCAACAUCAGUUUUGACUGCUGGAGAAGGAUAGAGGGAAUGUGGCACCUCCGGGUGUGUUAUAGCUCUUUGUCGGAUGCAGUGGUUGGGACUGAGGAAAGCAGCAUGCCGUAAGGCCGGGUUUCGACCACGUUCAUGCUGA
RNAcentral lists this ribosomal RNA (534 nucleotides) under Amanita xylinivolva. RNAcentral describes it as "eukaryotic LSU rRNA". It matches the Rfam family "Eukaryotic large subunit ribosomal RNA", at positions 106 to 625 of the family's 3401-position model. Lineage: Eukaryota; Fungi; Basidiomycota; Agaricomycetes; Agaricales; Amanitaceae. The record is from RNAcentral.